This 407-nucleotide ribosomal RNA is filed under the name Verrucomicrobiota bacterium. Its description in RNAcentral is "Verrucomicrobia bacterium partial 16S ribosomal RNA". It matches the Rfam family "Bacterial small subunit ribosomal RNA", at positions 355 to 776 of the family's 1533-position model. Lineage: Bacteria; Pseudomonadati; Verrucomicrobiota. The record is from RNAcentral.
UGGGGAAUAUUGGACAAUGGAGGAAACUCUGAUCCAGCAAUUCUGUGUGUGUGAAGAAGGUUUUAGGACUGUAAAACACUUUUAGUAGGGAAGAAAAAAAUGACGGUACCUACAGAAGAAGCAACGGCUAAAUACGUGCUAGCAGCCGCGGUAAUACGUAUGUUGCGAGCGUUAUCCGGAAUUAUUGGGCUUAAAGGGCAUCUAGGCGGUAAGACAAGUUGAAGGUGAAAACCUGUGGCUCAACCAUAGGCUUGCCUACAAAACUGUUGAACUAGAGUACUGGAAAGGUGGGUGGAACUACACGAGUAGAGGUGAAAUUCGUAGAUAUGUGUAGGAAUGCCGAUGAUGAAGAUAACUCACUGGACAGAAACUGACGCUGAAGUGCGAAAGCUAGGGGAGCAAACAGG